Molecule: long non-coding RNA, 1223 nt
Organism: Ctenopharyngodon idella (grass carp)
Lineage: Eukaryota; Metazoa; Chordata; Actinopteri; Cypriniformes; Xenocyprididae
Exons: 3
Source: RefSeq, a predicted model, not a curated record
UGAGGAAACUUCCUGAAAGGUCAUGAGUGAGGAUACACAUGUGUAUCCUUCCCUUGCAUACUAAGGGGGUGGAGCUAAGACGCAAGGAAAGGAAGUAAGGAAAGGAAAUAUGGAUGCACAAAUAAGAAAUGAGAAGCACCCAACGCCUCUGCACUUAUUUCUCUCAACAUGAGGACAGGAGAGCUGUCAGUCAAUGGGAAAACAAUGUAACUUAUUUGAAAAAAUGAAUACUUACAAUGGAGAAAUAAAGUGAAGCCAAAAUGAUUCAUUGUAGGCUAAGGAAUAAAUCAGAGCCACAUGACAUGACUUGUGUGACGGAUAACACAUCCACAUGACAGAUGGCUUAAUCAGGAGGAGUGGAGCGAAGAGAUUUCCCGCUAGAUUACCCAUCUGAAGCUAUACAACAGAAGAGAUUGCGUAAAUCUCCCAUUAAGCAGUUGGUUUAUAUACUGCUAUUGAAUAUUUCCACCAUUAUUUGCCAGAAAAAAAAUAUAUAGCUCAUGAAACACACAUUGACCCUCUGUGACAACAUGCCCCAGUAGCAUAGAACAUGGUUUCUCACUAUAUGGGGUUAGAUGGAAGCCCAUAGGGCAGUGGUAAAUUCCUGCGUGAGAGGAAAGGGAUUAUUUAAAGAGUUAGCGAAACCUAUAAAAGAAUAUGAUGUAGACACAGGUCUGGACUUUGCCAGAUGUUUGCAACUGCUGUCAUUUCAAUAAAGCUCUAAAAGAGAUUUACAGAAAGGAUUAUAGUGUUGGACUGACAAUGGGUUGUAAAUACACAGAAAUAGAUAUAUAAAAAUCAUCAACAGUUGGGAAUCAAUACAUACACUAAAUGGAAAAUGAUGCAUCAGUCAUGCAUGUUGCACCCUUUUGACCAAACAUCAGACACAUAGGACUGUUAUAUAUAAAACAUGAAUUUGCUUAUAAUUUUAAGAAGAUUUAAGACCUAUCGAUGGCUAAAUAUGGCAAAUUAAAUUUAAAAGUGAACAAAAACCAACAGCACAAUGACAGAUAGAUAGGCUAUGUAAAAAAGAAGAAUGCAUUACCUGGUGUGAGCAUCCAGCAGAAGACAAAAAAAGAAAAAUAUUGCACAUUCCUGACAGUCAUCUCGCAAUUCACUUCAUUGAUUAUCGGGCAUAAAAUUACAGGUGAUAAAUAUUCAAUUCAUUGAAGAUCUAGUCCUGUCAACUCCAGAGGACAGCUGCUGUAUGAAAGUCAAUAAAA